CUUGAGGAAAUGAUGAUUAGAUACAAACAGAUUGGCAAAGGUGCCAGAAAUGCCGAAAUUUAUUUAUUUGCACGUCAGUCUGAUCCCAAG
This is a small nucleolar RNA of Juglans regia (Persian walnut), 90 nucleotides long. RefSeq annotates it as small nucleolar RNA Z122. The record is from RefSeq and is a predicted model, not a curated record. The transcript has a single exon. Lineage: Eukaryota; Viridiplantae; Streptophyta; Magnoliopsida; Fagales; Juglandaceae.